GGGGCCAUGAACACGGGGCCAUGAACCCGCUGACCUUCGAGCUGCGGGGCUGCAGCAGCGGCAGAAUCCGCCGGGGACGAAGAAAUCUUUGGGGUCACCAGAACCCUUUGGGGUCCAUCAAAUCCUUUUGGGGUCACCAGAACCCUUUGGGGUCCAUCAAAUCCUUUUGGGG
Molecule: long non-coding RNA, 172 nt
Organism: Onychostruthus taczanowskii (white-rumped snowfinch)
Lineage: Eukaryota; Metazoa; Chordata; Aves; Passeriformes; Passeridae
Exons: 2
Source: RefSeq, a predicted model, not a curated record